GUCUGUUUUGGUUGGGACAUUGGAAAAGAAGGACCAUAGAGAGAGAGAGAGAAAUUCCUACCGAAUGAAGAAUGUAUAGUCCAGCUGUGAGCCGCAUCCAUUCACGACGAACCACGGGUGUUUAUGAAGAAUCAACAUGUUCUACCAUCGAGGGGCAGUCUGUGAGCCUUCUUCGUUAUAACGGGUGUGUGUGUCUGGUUCACUGUCAGAGGGGAAAGAUCAGAGGUCACAGCAGGUCGGGGGCUAGAAGCUAGGGAUCAUGUCUGCCGUGGCGUUCCAGGACCUUCCUCUUAACAUCUACAUGGUCAUCUUCGGGACCGGAGUCUUCGUCUUCGUCCUCAGUCUCAUCUUCUGCUGCUACUUCAUCAGUAAACUAAGGCACCAGGCUCGGCGAGAGAGGUUUGGAUACAAAGCGGUGGUAUUCAAAGGGGAUACAAAGAAACUGAAUCUAAA
Non-coding RNA from Oncorhynchus mykiss (rainbow trout), 453 nucleotides. The record is from RefSeq and is a predicted model, not a curated record. Lineage: Eukaryota; Metazoa; Chordata; Actinopteri; Salmoniformes; Salmonidae.